UCAGCUUUUUGCAGGCCAACACUAUUGUUUACAUAAGAUUUUUAAAAGUCACAAUGUCAGGGACUCUAACCCAGACGGCAAAGUUCAUUGUCUGACCGCGAGAGAGACAGGCAACACCAGCAAGGUCCGAUCAAAAGCUCUUUAUUGACAAGUGCACGCAUCAAUAGAGAGCAGCUCGUCUCCAGAGACAACCAGCCUGCUCUUUAUAUCUUAGUAUAAGCCUAUAUAGACAGUUCCGUCGCGUCAUAAAUUAUUCACUGGAGCAACCCACCCCCUUCUUUUAACAACUUAAACUAGGCACCUUUUAGUAUACAUGCAUGCCUAAAGUUAGAAAUAUAGGGGAGU
This is a long non-coding RNA of Gopherus flavomarginatus (Mexican gopher tortoise), 345 nucleotides long. RefSeq lists it as uncharacterized. The transcript is spliced from 3 exons. NCBI's taxonomy places the organism in Eukaryota, Metazoa, Chordata, Testudines, Testudinidae. The record is from RefSeq and is a predicted model, not a curated record.